RNAcentral lists this ribosomal RNA (543 nucleotides) under uncultured Glomeromycotina. RNAcentral describes it as "SSU rRNA". It matches the Rfam family "Eukaryotic small subunit ribosomal RNA", at positions 552 to 1096 of the family's 1831-position model. The record is from RNAcentral. Lineage: Eukaryota; Fungi; Glomeromycota.
AGGGCAAGUCUGGUGCCAGCAGCCGCGGUAAUUCCAGCUCCAAUAGCGUAUAUUAAAGUUGUUGCAGUUAAAAAGCUCGUAGUUGAAUUUCGGGGUUAGUAGGUUGGUCAUGCCUCAGGUAUGUACUGAUCUCACUGAUUCCUCCUUCCUGAUGAACCGUAAUGCCAUUAAUUUGGUGUUGCGGGGAAACUGGACUGUUACUUUGAAAAAAUUAGAGUGUUUAAAGCAGGCUAACGCUUGAAUACAUUAGCAUGGAAUAAUGAAAUAGGACGUUCGAUCUUAUUUUGUUGGUUUCUAAGAUUGGCGUAAUGAUUAAUAGGGAUAGUUGGGGGCAUUAGUAUUCAAUUGUCAGAGGUGAAAUUCUUGGAUUUAUUGAAGACUAACUACUGCGAAAGCAUUUGCCAAGGAUGUUUUCAUUAAUCAAGAACGAAAGUUAGGGGAUCGAAGACGAUCAGAUACCGUCGUAGUCUUAACCAUAAACUAUGCCGACUAGGGAUCGGAUGAUGUUAAUUUUUUAAUGACUCAUUCGGCGCCUUACGGGAA